GAUAUAGUUAUGUGCUUAGCCAAGUUUUUUAAUUAUUACUACUAGUUAAUUUGCAAUUCCCGAGAGCUAGCAAUGGCAUCAAUGAAGGCUGAAAAGCCUGUUGGCACUCAACUCUUUGGACAGGUCAAGAAGGAAGCUGCAACUUCAAAGGCCACCGAUGCUUCCACCAAAGCCGCUGCUUCCAAGCCCGCCGCCAAAAAGGCUGCUCAAAAGCCUCAGGAACCAAAAAAACCCGCUGCUAAGAAGGGAAAAGGUGGGAAAGCAGCGACCAAGCAGUAGAUACCAGUCCCAAUGCAAGCAGAUUUUUAGGGCUUAAGAUACUAAAUAUCUAAGCUUAUAAUAUAUACACACACACAUAUAUAUGUUUGUGUUAUGAUCAGGGAAACUUAACUAAUUAAGGUUUUCUUGUAAGUUGUUUCGACAAAGAUAUUGCACUGAUUAAAUAAGACAGCAUAUAUAUAUGUAUAAUUAUCAUUACAAGGGUAUUAUACCAUAUA
Long non-coding RNA from Hibiscus syriacus, 497 nucleotides. RefSeq lists it as uncharacterized. Lineage: Eukaryota; Viridiplantae; Streptophyta; Magnoliopsida; Malvales; Malvaceae. The transcript has 2 exons. The record is from RefSeq and is a predicted model, not a curated record.